AGGUAGGGAUGAAAGGAGAUAGCAUACUUACUUUGCAUGUGUUGCGAAGUCAAAGCUCGGAUCCUUGAAGAGAAGUGUCAUACUCCCAGAUCAAGAUGUGCAAGUGUGAUAUAUGGUGGACUAGGUUGCUCCUUUAUUUGCUACACUCUCUCUACUUGUAUAUUGAGACAUGGCUAGCAUUUUCUUUUUCUUCGAGCUUUAUGUGCUCAAUUUUUUUUUGUGGACUUGCACAUGUCCAUCUUUUUAUUUCAUUUUGCCUAGGCUUUUGAUGUCUCAUUUACCAAAUAAUGCUUAGAGAGAGAUAUUCUAACAUUUAGAGUAUGGGGCAACCUAUUUAGUGGAUGCGAAAUACAUGUGGUUGCGUACUUCCAGUGUAGAAGCAGCAUAUAUAUAUGUGGUAUGUACGUGAUCUUGAUCUUAGGAGCAUGAAAAGUCUCUUAACAGGGGUCAACAAGACUUGACGACACUCAACACAAAGCAAAUAGCUUAUGUGGAAAGGUUGCAAUCAUGUAAAGUAGAUAUAGCUGUGGUAGGAAUUCAUCACCAUUGAGGAACAAUUAAGGUUUUGAUCAUUUUAAGAAUAAAUCUCUGAUAAUCAUGCAUGCUUAGAAUAAUAUUAUAGCAGCUCUUGUCUCACUAUCUCAUGUCCCACAACAACUUAGACUUAGUUCUAGCACUUGCAACCCACAAAGUUUUCAGGUUCAUGGCAGUUUAAGUGAGCUAAGUGAUCCAUACUUGGAGAAAUACUAAGUUGUAUACUAGGUACUAGAGAAACAUUAACAAGCAACUAGUCAUCAUUUCCAUGAGGGAUAUAGACAUACAUGAAGCAUAUAUGCUAAAGGGAAAUGCUAAUUUUUUUUAGAGCAAGAAUGAUAAAAUGCAUGGAAAUAAAUAGGAUAGAAUACUUACCUUGGUGGGGGAGAGGAUCUCCCCCAAGCUUGUCCUUCCUCACUGGGGUGGAUACGAUGG
Molecule: long non-coding RNA, 969 nt
Filed under: Sorghum bicolor (sorghum)
Lineage: Eukaryota; Viridiplantae; Streptophyta; Magnoliopsida; Poales; Poaceae
Description: long non-coding RNA (SBIC_LNC001077)
Source: RNAcentral